CUCAUGUCGUGAGAUGUUGGGUUAAGUCCCGUAACGAGCGCAACCCUUGUCCUUAGUUACCAGCACGUUAUGGUGGGCACUCUAAGGAGACUGCCGGUGACAAACCGGGGGAAGGUGGGGAUGACGUCAAGUCGUCAUGGCCCUUACGGCCUGGGCUACACACGUGCUACAAUGGUCGGUACAAAGGGUUGCCAAGCCGCGAGGUGGAGCUAAUCCCAUAAAACCGAUCGUAGUCCGGAUCGCAGUCUGCAACUCGACUGCGUGAAGUCGGAAUCGCUAGUAAUCGUGAAUCAGAAUGUCACGGUGAAUACGUUCCCGGGCCUU
Molecule: ribosomal RNA, 324 nt
Filed under: uncultured Pseudomonas sp.
Lineage: Bacteria; Pseudomonadati; Pseudomonadota; Gammaproteobacteria; Pseudomonadales; Pseudomonadaceae
Description: bacterial SSU rRNA
Rfam family: Bacterial small subunit ribosomal RNA
Source: RNAcentral